AUAAACGGAAUUUACAGGGCAAGCGAUCUCAGAGGAUACAGACGAAGCAGAGUCAACUCUUUCACGAGUGGCUCCAUUAAAGUAGACAUGACUCUUAUCUUUGAGAAUUCUUCUAUAGUCCCAAGCUCAUUUGAAGUAGAAGCUAUUCUUAACAUGACCGCUCUGAAUGGUACCAUACCUCUGGACAUCAUACUUGAAACUAUCAAAGCAGGGGAAAUAGUAACUUCUACACCAGUGCCUGUCACAAAUGUUGAAUCUACCACCACGAAAUACACAUCGAGUACAAAUGAGUACACAAACACCACGUCUAGUGGCUUUCCAUGGAUGGUUCGCUGUUCACUUCUGACUAUAUAUCCAGCCAUAAUUGUUUUAUUAGCACAAACAUUGUUGUAAUUUUAAAGUGCACUGGUAAAGUUCACUAAAGAAACAAAAUGAAAGGCAAUAUGUUUAAUAUAAUAUUUAAGCUGAUUGUAUUGGUGAGUAAUGGACAAAUGUUGUAGAAGUUUAUUUUAUGCAGAGACUGUAGUUUAUGGAGAGACUAAAGACUAUAGUUUUUUAGGACCAUCAGCCUAUAAAAUAAAAUGAAUCUGAGAAGGACUAGUCAUCAGGGAUUUGUGCAAUUUAACUGUUUCGAGUCAGAUUAAAAAAAAAAAUAAUAUAUGCAUAAAUGCUGGUUUGGAACUCAAGUGUACAAAAUGCUUAAUUUCAUUUGAUUACCUAUAUUCCUAUAUUAUUGUAUCUGAUCUGUCUAUUAUUUGUAAUUAAAGUUAAUGUAUUCUGUUGUAUUCUCUGCUUUCUACUUACAGUAUAACCAUGGUAACAGUAGUUAAUUUUUUUUUUUUUUUUUUUUUGUCGUCUGAAUCAAUAUUCUCGUUUACUAGAAAUAUCUUGUCUGAGCAGAUGGAGUGUGUUCCUUUUCCCAUUUACUUUUACUGGACCCAAGCUCAUUGUACUUCACAUUACACAGUUAAGAGAUUAAAAACAAAUUUGUAGCAGAUAAAUGAUUAAAGUUUGGAAUAGUCACUGUUGUACACUGGUAAAGUUCACUAAAUAAAAAAAAUUAAAGACAAUAUGUUUAACAUCAUAUUUAAGCUGGUGAAGAAUGGACAAAUGUUGUAGAAGUUUAUUUUAUAAAGAGACUGUUUAUGCAGAGAAUAUAUUUUAUGGCUAUAGAGACUAUAGUUUUUUCUUUAGGACCAUCAUCCUAUUAAAUAUAAUUAAUCUGAGAAGGACUAAUCAUCGGGGAUUUGUGCAAUUUAAUUGUCUAUGUCAGAUUUAAUAUAUAUAUUAUGUUGGUUUGGAACUCAAGUGUACAAAAAUGCUUCCAUUUGUUUAUUAACAUUAUUUGGUUACCUAUAUUGCUAUAUUACUGCAUCUAAACUGUGUAUUCUCUGUUA
Carassius gibelio (silver crucian carp) is the source of this 1397-nucleotide long non-coding RNA. RefSeq lists it as uncharacterized. The transcript is spliced from 4 exons. The record is from RefSeq and is a predicted model, not a curated record. NCBI's taxonomy places the organism in Eukaryota, Metazoa, Chordata, Actinopteri, Cypriniformes, Cyprinidae.